Molecule: ribosomal RNA, 253 nt
Filed under: uncultured bacterium
Lineage: Bacteria
Description: partial 16S ribosomal RNA
Rfam family: Bacterial small subunit ribosomal RNA
Source: RNAcentral
UACGUAGGGUGCUAGCGUUGUCCGGAUUUAUUGGGCGUAAAGGGCUCGUAGGCGGCUUGUCACGUCGGGUGUGAAAGCCCGGGGCUUAACCCCGGGUCUGCAUUCGAUACGGGCUAGCUAGAGUGUGGUAGGGGAGAUCGGAAUUCCUGGUGUAGCGGUGAAAUGCGCAGAUAUCAGGAGGAACACCGGUGGCGAAGGCGGAUCUCUGGGCCAUUACUGACGCUGAGGAGCGAAAGCGUGGGGAGCGAACAGG